CCAGCCCGCUCAGAAACUCAAAGGAAGUUGACGGGGCCCGCACAAGCGGUGGAGUAUGUGGUUUAAUUCGAUGCAGCGCGAAGAACCUUACCUGGUCUUGACAUCCCGGAGACCCUUAGGAAACUAGGGGGUGCUUCCAUCUGGAAGAAUCUGGAGACAGGUGCUGCAUGGCUGUCGUCAGCUCGUGUCGUGAGAUGUUGGGUUAAGUCCCGCAACGAGCGCAACCCUUGCCUUUAGUUGCCAGCAGUUCGGCUGGGCACUCUAAAGGGACUGCCGGUGUUAAACCGGAGGAAGGUGGGGAUGACGUCAAGUCCUCAUGGCCUUUAUGACCAGGGCUACACACGUACUACAAUGGCCGAUACAAAGGGCAGCGACACUGCGAGGUGAAGCCAAUCCCGUAAAAUCGGUCUCAGUCCGGAUUGGAGUCUGCAACUCGACUCCAUGAAGUUGGAAUCGCUAGUAAUCGUGGAUCAGCAUGCCACGGUGAAUACGUUCCCGGGCCUU
RNAcentral lists this ribosomal RNA (504 nucleotides) under uncultured Desulfobulbus sp. RNAcentral describes it as "bacterial SSU rRNA". It matches the Rfam family "Bacterial small subunit ribosomal RNA", at positions 884 to 1382 of the family's 1533-position model. Lineage: Bacteria; Pseudomonadati; Thermodesulfobacteriota; Desulfobulbia; Desulfobulbales; Desulfobulbaceae. The record is from RNAcentral.